Molecule: unclassified non-coding RNA, 391 nt
Filed under: soil metagenome
Description: partial contains 5.8S ribosomal RNA, internal transcribed spacer 2, and large subunit ribosomal RNA
Rfam family: 5.8S ribosomal RNA (bases 1-122)
Source: RNAcentral
GAUUAAGAACGUAGCGAAAUGCGAUACUUGGUGUGAAUUGCAGAAUCCCGUGAACCAUCGAGUCUUUGAACGCAAGUUGCGCCCGAAGCCAUUAGGCCGAGGGCACGCCUGCCUGGGCGUCACACGUCGUUGCCCCCCCAUCUACUCCUUCGGGAUUGCGGGGGGCGGAUGAUGGCCUCCCGUGCGCCUCGUCGCGCUGUUGGCAUAAAUGCCAAGUCCUCGGCGACGCACGCCACGACAAUCGGUGGUUGCGAAACCUCGGUUGCCCGUCGUGUGCGGUCGUCGCGCAUCGAGGGCUCGAAAAAAUUGCCGGGCUCCGGCUCGGCUUUCAACGCGACCCCAGGUCAGGCGGGGUUACCCGCUGAAUUUAAGCAUAUCAAUAAGCGGAGGA